AAUACACCAGGAAGCAAUAACAAUUUUUACAAUAUCAUCUUAAGAGAUUGGCGAAUAAAACCUAUCAUUCAUAAUCUGCUUCAAAUAUUUCAUCAUGAGCUGGAGAUUGAACGCCUACACCAUUGCAGUGGUCUUUGAUGUAUCUUGGAAAAUUUCUUGUGGUUAUAGUGGUAGCCCAAAUUUCCUGUAUCCAAACCUGAGUACUUAAAAGGAAUUAGCAAAGUCAUUAUAACUUGCAUCACCAUUGCCAAAAUAUGCUUGCUGCUUAGUUUUUUUUUAAUUUUAAUUCACUUUUUUUAAAAUAAUAAUGAAAUAUACGGACACAAAUAUUAACAUAGUCAAAAAAAAAAUUGCGUUACACAUAAACACAACUUCUGUAAUUUUGGGCACCUGUCGCACAAAAUAUAACCCCAAAAUAAAAGCUGAGCUUAAGUGCGACAUGUGUCAGUCACACCAAAUACAAGUGCGACAAGCGCCAGUCGCACUAAACACGACCACAAAACAGAAGUUUUGUUUACGUGCGACAGGCAAAUGCAAGUGCGACAGAAGCUGUGUUAAGAGCGAUAGGUCUAUCGUACACAAACAACCACAACACUGCACAUAAACACCCUCUACACAAUAUCAUUGCUCACAUUCAACCCCAGUACCGUUGCUGGUUGCCCACACUCUUAGAUAUUCAUUCAAGUAAAAUAAAGCAAAAUUAAACCUAAACAACAAAAUAUAUUCUUUGAGGUAUUUCAACAUACACUAGUAGUGCCAUAUUUAACAAUUUCAAGAACAUUUUGUCAAUUUUCAUUUCCAAUUCAAUCCUAGUGUUAAGAAACUAACGUUGAAUAAGAUUUAACCUAUAAUCAUCUACAAUUAAUACUAAAACAAUAAACCCAUUCAAGAAUUACAUAAACUCACCGAAUUAACUCAAAGUUAAAGGCGCCACCGUUAUCCUUGUCGGAAGUAGCCAUUACCAUCAUCAUGUCGACUCGCCAUUACCUUUGCC
Molecule: long non-coding RNA, 994 nt
Filed under: Citrus x clementina
Lineage: Eukaryota; Viridiplantae; Streptophyta; Magnoliopsida; Sapindales; Rutaceae
Description: Citrus clementina (C. clementina) long non-coding RNA (CCLE_LNC006794)
Source: RNAcentral